CACCCUGAAAAGAUCUCCUAGUGCUCCACGAAUUUCCAUCUAAACAAAGGCAGUGAAGAUCAGUUUUUCAGUUAACAGAAGCAGUUUACCAAUGGUAAUGGAGACAAUCAUGCAAGGAAAUUUCUCAUUUAGGUAGAAGAGAAAAUGGUGGAUACUUCCUUUUUCCACCUUGCCUAAUCGUUCUAGAAGUAGAAGAUACCUGAUCACAACACACAAGUUUUGUAAGCAAAGGAUAGAAGUCUCUCAAAUGUCUUCUGAAAAUCUUGUCGUUCAUAAAGCACAUGCUUUUAAGCACCUGAAAGAUCAAAAUGACAAAGAAAUUGCAUAAACACUGCAGUCUCUAAAAAUAAAUGAGAAUAACUGAGUACACCACUCAUCUGCUUCAACACCACCUUCACCAUGACAAAGAAAUUGGUGAAUAGACAUUCACCAAAGAGGUAUGAAUAAAGAACUAAAGGGACCAUAGACCAGUCCUUGUAAAUUAAACUUCUAUAUAUUGUGCAUAAAUCAAAUCACGAGCAGGGGGGAAAAACUCCAGUAAAUGAAGUGUCAUUAGAAUUUGGGAGCUUCCUCCUGCCCCUACCAAUCAGAAAGAGAGGAGGCGGAGGAGGGAAGUAAUAUACCCAAAUGCUGGCAGGCACGACAGCACUGAUCAAGAGGAAGAUGAAGAUCAAGAGGACCAUCAUUCAAUCAUUCUUCACCAUAGCACUGAUGGUAAAUAACAUGCAAAAGAAAAUAAUAGACCACAUUUUCACCCAAAACAUGCUGAUGUGAAAUAUUAUUACACCCAAGAGUUGUAAUCUUAUAUAACCAGAAGAAAUAACAUAGAAAGAUAUUUAUACUUGCAAUAUUUCUUCAAGGAAAUGCAUACAUAUACCCAAAUAAGUCCGCCAUUGUAAACUAUCAUAUUAUCACUGACAAGUCGAAAGCUCCAAAUCCAUAACUAAUAAGAGAGGCAUUUCAUACCUUGACAAUGAUCGGUGACCGU
Molecule: unclassified non-coding RNA, 988 nt
Filed under: Hevea brasiliensis (rubber tree)
Lineage: Eukaryota; Viridiplantae; Streptophyta; Magnoliopsida; Malpighiales; Euphorbiaceae
Source: RNAcentral